Molecule: transfer RNA, 72 nt
Filed under: Eviota japonica
Lineage: Eukaryota; Metazoa; Chordata; Actinopteri; Gobiiformes; Gobiidae
Description: tRNA-Leu
Rfam family: tRNA
About the family: Transfer RNA (tRNA) molecules are approximately 80 nucleotides in length. Their secondary structure includes four short double-helical elements and three loops (D, anti-codon, and T loops). Further hydrogen bonds mediate the characteristic L-shaped molecular structure. tRNAs have two regions of fundamental functional importance: the anti-codon, which is responsible for specific mRNA codon recognition, and the 3' end, to which the tRNAs corresponding amino acid is attached (by aminoacyl-tRNA synthetases). tRNAs cope with the degeneracy of the genetic code in two manners: having more than one tRNA (with a specific anti-codon) for a particular amino acid; and 'wobble' base-pairing, i.e. permitting non-standard base-pairing at the 3rd anti-codon position.
Source: RNAcentral
GUUAUAGUGGCAAGUCUGGCCCCGCAAAAGUUUUAAGCUCUUCGAACAGAGGUUCGAAUCCUCUCUGUAACU